This 1581-nucleotide ribosomal RNA is filed under the name Triticum aestivum (bread wheat). RNAcentral's name for it is "partial small subunit ribosomal RNA". Lineage: Eukaryota; Viridiplantae; Streptophyta; Magnoliopsida; Poales; Poaceae. The record is from RNAcentral.
AUGCAUGUUGAUACUAUAAUGGAAUCUCGUGAUGCAACAUUUUUUGAGAACAUAUUUCCUAUGAAAGAUAUGCAUAGCAUUGCUAGAUUUUCUUCUGAGAUAAUUCCUGAAUCUAGUACAACUGAUGAAUAUUUCGAACAAUCACAUGAGGAAGUCCUUGAGAAGGAUAACAAUGAAGUUCCUAGAAGGAACAAGAGACAAAGGAUUGCAAAAUCCUUUGGUGAUGAUUUCAUUGUAUACCUUGUGGACGACACACCCAAGACGAUUGCAGAAGCAUAUGCAUCUCCGGAUGUAGAUGAUUGGAAAGAAGCUGUUCAUAAUGAGAUGGACUCAAUUCUUUCUAAUGGAACUUGGGAACUAACUGAUAGACCAUAUGGUUGUAAACCUGUGGGCUAUAAGUGGGUGUUCAAAAAGAAGCUAAAGCCUGAUGGUACUAUUGAUAAGUACAAGGCGCGGCUAGUGGCCAAGGGCUACACUCAGAAAGAAGGCGAAGAUUACUUUGACACCUAUUCACCCGUUGCUAGAAUGACCACCAUUCGAGUGUUACUUUCCUUGGCUGCCUCUUAUGGUCUUAUCAUUCAUCAAAUGGAUGUAAAGACAGCUUUUCUCAAUGGAGAGUUGGAAGAGGAGAUCUAUAUGGAUCAGCCUGACGGGUUUGUGGUAAAGGGAUUUGUCAUUAACGAGGCUGAUAGGUGUGUUUACUAUCGCCAUGGUGGGGGCAAUAGUGUCAUAUUAUGUUUGUAUGUGGACGACAUACUGAUCUUUGGUACAAACAUUAAUGCAAUUAAUGAGUCUCACUAUGUUGAGAAGGUCUUGAACCGAUUCGGUUUUAUGGAUAGCAAGCCUUCUCCAACACCUUAUGAUCCCAGCGUGACACUCAGAAAGAAUAAGAAAGAAACGAGAGAUCAAUUAAGAUACUCUCAAAUUGUCGGUUCACUCAUGUACUUAGCUAGCGCUACAAGACCAGAUAUCUCUUUUGCUGUGAGAAAACUGAGUAGGUUCAUGUCCAACCCGGGUGAUGAUCAUUGGCAUGCACUAGAAAGGGUCUUGCGCUAUCUGAGAGGUACUAUGAGUUACGGAAUUACUUAUUCAGGGCAUCCUGCUGUGCUAGAAGGAUAUAGUGAUUCAAAUUGGAUCUCCGAUGUUGAUGUACUUUACGCAACAAGUAGGUAUGUAUUUACUCAUGGUGGUGGCGCAGUGUCAUGGAGGUCUUGCAAGCAAACCAUAUUGACGAGGUCAACUAUGGAAGCAGAAUUAACUGCUUUGGACACAGCUACUGUUGAGGCAGAAUGGCUGCGUGAGCUCUUGAUGGACUUGCCGGUUGUUGAAAAACCUGUACCGGCUAUUCUUAUGAAUUGUGAUAACCAAACGGUUAUCGCUAAAGUGAACAAUUCUAAAGAUAAUGCAAAGUCAUCAAGACACGUGAAAAGACAUUUGAAGUCUGUCAGGAAGUUGAGAAAUUCAGGAGUAAUAACUGUUACGUAUAUACAAACAGACAAAAACCUGGCAGAUCCCUUUACAAAGGGACUAUCACGAAAUGUGAUAGAUAUUGCAUCGAGGGAGAUGGGUAUGAGACCCAUA